CCUACGGGCGGCAGCAGUGAGGAAUAUUGGUCAAUGGGCGCGAGCCUGAACCAGCCAAGUCGCGUGAAGGAUGAAUGUCCUACGGGUUGUAAACUUCUUUUGUCAAGGAAUAAAGUGAGGCACGUGUGCCUGAUUGAAUGUACUUUAUGAAUAAGGAUCGGCUAACUCCGUGCCAGCAGCCGCGGUAAUACGGAGGAUCCGAGCGUUAUCCGGAUUUAUUGGGUUUAAAGGGUGCGUAGAGGGGUUGUUAAGUCAGUUGUGAAAGUGUGCGGCUCAACCGUAAAAUUGCAUUUGAUACUGGCUGUCUUGAGAACAGGUGAGGUAGGCGGAAUUCGGAGUGUAGCGGUGAAAUGCUUAGAUAUCACGAAGAACUCCGAUUGCGAAGGCAGCAUACUAACCUGCCACUGACGUUGAGGCACGAAAGUGUGGGUAUCGAACAGGAGUAGAUACCCCAGUAGUC
This 460-nucleotide ribosomal RNA is filed under the name uncultured bacterium. RNAcentral's name for it is "partial 16S ribosomal RNA". It matches the Rfam family "Bacterial small subunit ribosomal RNA", at positions 338 to 795 of the family's 1533-position model. The record is from RNAcentral.